AUGUCGAAGGCUUCAGGAUCGCAGAGGAGACAGGAGAAGGAGUCAUCGGAGGAUCUGCUGGCAAGGCUUACGCUGCUGGAGGAGGAAGAAGAUGACUUCAUCUGGGAGGAAGAGCUGUCGGACAUGCUGGAGCCGGCGAAGUGGCUCGCCAUCGUUCGAGUCCACACACCUAAGUCUUUCAGCCCUAAUGCCCUAUACAAUGACAUGAGGGCGGCCUGGAAUCUAGCGAAAAAAGUGGACUGGAGGAAGAUCAAGGGAAAUCUGUUCACGGCACAGUUUGGCUGUUUGGGCGAUUGG
This 297-nucleotide ribosomal RNA is filed under the name Triticum aestivum (bread wheat). RNAcentral's name for it is "partial small subunit ribosomal RNA". The record is from RNAcentral. Lineage: Eukaryota; Viridiplantae; Streptophyta; Magnoliopsida; Poales; Poaceae.